Molecule: long non-coding RNA, 1072 nt
Filed under: Anser brachyrhynchus (Pink-footed goose)
Lineage: Eukaryota; Metazoa; Chordata; Aves; Anseriformes; Anatidae
Description: lncRNA (ENSABRG00000004495.1)
Source: RNAcentral
UGCCAAGGUAUUUCCUUGCAGGGCCAUAAAAAUAAAAUACUAUCGGAUCCAGCGGUCCCGAUAGCAGCGACUUUGUUUAAGUAACUUUAUAAUGAGUCCCAGUUCUUCUCCCAACAGAUGCCUUUGGUAUAAUAUCCUGGAGUAGUAACAGAAUAAAAUAAAUCAGCUUUUACAAACUCAUAGACACAUAGAAGGGAACGUAAACCAAUUUCUGAUCUAGUCGAGGUGCGCUGAGACUUCACAGAGUGGCACAAAGCUUGAGUGGAGGCUGAAAUUGCUCUUGAGCCGAGAAGUGAAAGCAGAAGCAAGCAGGGCUGGCACCCCUCACCUGCCCACAUCUGGCCACUGCAGAGGAGAACAGGGGAAGAAGUUUGCCACCCUGGCUCCGAGCCUCUCCUGGCAGUGUUUUACCUAGCAAGCACCACGAGAACCUGUGCUGGAGGUGGUGCACACAGUGCUAGCAGCAGAGCUGGGCUCUCCUCCAGCAUCGGGCACCCUCCCCCUGCCUGCUCCAUGGGUGAAAAAGUGCAGAUUUUGGUGCCUGUCCCUUCCAGAGCUUGCUGCACCGCACGUGCUGCCCGACCCAACAGCCCCACGUCCAGCACGCAUCCAGCUCGCACAGCACAGCCCGUUGCUCUCCAAGGAAGCUCGCUCUGGAGUUUGCUGCCGCAUUUAGUAUUCGGAGAGGAGCCCAACUCGCUGAUUGUGCUGAUGGGAUAUGAAAGGCAGGAUAGAGUUUUACUGCAGAGCAGUUGACCUUGCUCCAGAGAUAUUACCGAUACACAGCUGCUAUUCAACAUUUCAAAACACUGUAGUCAUUAUGUGAAUCUGUCUGCUAAGAGAAGCAAUUAGACUUCACAGCAUUACGAUCCAGCAUUUGAAACAAAAGCUGCACACACAGGUGGGCGGCUGGGGCAGCUCCCUCCCCGUCCCAGCUGCUGGGGGCACGCGGGUGCUGCCGUGGAGGACCCAGCAAGGCAGGGGACAAAGACCCUGCCCUGCUUCAGAGUGGGUAAGGGUGAGGUGGCAGCGUGCUCAGCUGGCUGGGAUGGAGGGUGUCCUCUGUGGAGAC